GGAUGUGAGGGUGAUCUGACUGCAACAUCUGCCACCCCAUUGAUCACCAGGGUUGAUUUGGCUGAUCUGGCCAGCUAGAUGGGUGUCCCCUUCCUUCCUCACCUCUCCAUGUGCAUCCCUCCCAAAGCUGCAUUCUUGGUGGAAGAAGACGACCUUCUCUGAUAGAGGAGGACUGUUCUUUGGUCAAGGGCAUACGAGUAGCUGUGCUUCCCUGCUAGAACCUCCAGACAAGCUCUCAAGGACAGCGUUCUGGGAUUUGGAAACUGUAAGAGGUUAAGGAGAUGAGGAGAAACCAUCUCAGAAGACUG
Unclassified non-coding RNA from Prolemur simus (greater bamboo lemur), 308 nucleotides. Its record names the gene 7SK. It matches the Rfam family "7SK RNA". Rfam says of the family: 7SK was discovered as an abundant small nuclear RNA in the mid-70s but a possible function has only recently been suggested. Two independent studies have found that 7SK RNA binds the CDK9/cyclin T complex (known as elongation factor P-TEFb). P-TEFb activates transcription by phosphorylating the C-terminal domain of RNA polymerase II. The record is from Ensembl. NCBI's taxonomy places the organism in Eukaryota, Metazoa, Chordata, Mammalia, Primates, Lemuridae.